UGAGGGUCAUUAAGAAUUUGUCUUUAUUUUGACUUUUUUAUUGUCGAAGUUAAAGUAGUUCGUUAGCCUCCCCAGCUAAAUCUACUUUCUUUUAUUUUUAUAGGUAGAUAAAGAUUCAAGGGGUCUUCUCGUCCUUCUAUGAAAUUUCUUCUUUUUUAAAGAAAAAUUAAGUUUAAUUUUAUAAAUUGAGACAAUACUAAGUUCAUUAACCCUAUCAUUCUAUUUUACAAUUAAUAAACUAAUUAUUAUGCUACCUUUGCAA
This 262-nucleotide ribosomal RNA is filed under the name Facetotecta sp. RNAcentral's name for it is "partial large subunit ribosomal RNA". The record is from RNAcentral. Lineage: Eukaryota; Metazoa; Arthropoda; Thecostraca.